This 251-nucleotide small nuclear RNA is filed under the name Salvator merianae (Argentine black and white tegu). RNAcentral's name for it is "7SK RNA (ENSSMRG00000009928.1)". It matches the Rfam family "7SK RNA". From Rfam's summary of the family: 7SK was discovered as an abundant small nuclear RNA in the mid-70s but a possible function has only recently been suggested. Two independent studies have found that 7SK RNA binds the CDK9/cyclin T complex (known as elongation factor P-TEFb). P-TEFb activates transcription by phosphorylating the C-terminal domain of RNA polymerase II. Lineage: Eukaryota; Metazoa; Chordata; Lepidosauria; Squamata; Teiidae. The record is from Rfam by way of RNAcentral.
GGACAAUGUUGCAGCAAUCUGACUGCAACAUCUGUCACUCCAUUGGUUGCCAGGGUUGAUUUGGCUGAACUGGCUGGCUAGGCGGGUGUCCUCUUCCUUCCUCACUGCUCCACGUGUGUCCCUCCCGAAGCUGCAUGCUCAGUGGAAGUGGACAGCCAUCCCAGACAAAAGGAGUGUAGCAUUCUUUGGUCACGGGGUACUACUUAGUUUUCAAACUUUUGUAAAAGCCCAUUUCCAGACUGCUUUUCUAA